Centrocercus urophasianus (Greater sage-grouse) is the source of this 623-nucleotide long non-coding RNA. RefSeq lists it as uncharacterized. The record is from RefSeq and is a predicted model, not a curated record. The transcript has 4 exons. NCBI's taxonomy places the organism in Eukaryota, Metazoa, Chordata, Aves, Galliformes, Phasianidae.
AUUUCUUAGAAACAGCAUUCUUCUGUUUUUUUUUCUAAGACAGCAAGAACUUCUACAAGCAAGAUCUGGCCCAGAGUACUUGUAUCACAACAAGAGCCAAUGUUUGCAGCUUCCCACCUGCAUACAGCACACCAGGAGCCAGAAAUAAGAUACUCUACUCACCUGCUGAGGCAGGUCCUCUCUAGCUCUGUUCCUAUUUGAUUUCGGCUGGCCAAGGGCAGAAAAGUUGGAGAACGCUGAAGUGAUGUCUGACCCACCAGAUGAGAGACAUCUCUAGAAGUCACUGUGGUGAUGGAUUCACUUAACACCACAGCACAAAAGACAGUACUGGAACUGGCCUGAGAAGGACCCUUCUGACCUGACACCUGCACGUGGAAAGAAUAGGUGCAGCAGAAGACAGUCUUAAUUAAAAACCAGCAUGCUGCCAAGAUUUGGGACUGAAGUGUAAUGCCUGCUUUGCAGCAACUACAUUGAAUAACUGCUUCCUUGCUAGAACAGUGGGAAAACAAUUUAUCUGAAGAGACCUAGCGCCCUUCAGAGAGUAUGGCUAAAUACCAGCGUAUGCAUACCAGACUAUAUUGGGAUGAUGCAGCUCUUUUAAUAAAGAAAUUUCUCGGAUAGCA